RNAcentral lists this long non-coding RNA (826 nucleotides) under Vulpes vulpes (red fox). Its description in RNAcentral is "lncRNA (ENSVVUG00000010287.1)". The record is from RNAcentral. Lineage: Eukaryota; Metazoa; Chordata; Mammalia; Carnivora; Canidae.
ACAAUAUACCCAGGAUACAUACAUGACCUGAUGUCAGGACAUCCUGUGGCCCAGGAAAGUUGACACAUACAAUGAACCAUCACAUUGACCAAGAGCCAGAAAAUAUGGAAAAAGAGCCAUCCAAUGAGCACGACAAAGGAGCAGAAUUCCUAGGCAAAAGGAUACUGGGAGAACAGGAGGAGCAUGCUCAAGGACACAACAUAGAUGGUCACUCCCGCCUUUUGAGCUCUUUGUAAAACUGCCAUAAGAGGCUGCAGUUCAGUGACAAAGUAAUGCAACUUGGCAAGGAAAAGAGUAAAGCCUGGUGAUGAGAAGAAAAAAUGCAAGAAAAUGAAAAUCAGGAGUCAAACAAUGUAGAACAGCUUCUUACCCCCAUCCAUACCCCAUGGCCCAGGCCCUCAGCAUUGAUGGCAUUGUCUCUGCACAGCCAGAAUUUUAGGAAAUGCAUGCCAAUAUUGACAUUACCUCACGUAAUGAAAUCAAGAUUGGAGGCUGGCCCAGUGAUGGCCCAUCUGGAGAAGAGCCUCACGCCAAAGCUGCUAUCUCCCUUUUCCCUUUUUCUUCACACCUCACACUGAGCAUGUACUGCAUCCCGACUGACAGGACCCUCUUACUUCAGACUCUGAUGCCUCCUGAUCCCAAGCUAUACUCUGGGAGCUACCGCAAGGACAAGAAGUACUAUCGUGGUGAUUAUGGUGGUGGAUGCUGUACUUUUUCGAUAGCUUCCCUUCCAGCUUGGGAUAAGAAGAGUAAAUGCGGCUCUUCUUGUGUUUCUUAUAGUCUCCCUUCCAAGGCCAGGGCAUGUCACAGAGCCCGGCAGGACUGA